AGCACAGGGACAGAGUCAUGACUCCAUGGGGUGAGCAGAGAAGCGCACCUCUGACCUAAGGAGGAUGGACACAAAAGCAUAAUACUGACGAUUCUCGUGUUUAAAUGAUGAAAAAUUCUAGGUUAAAGAAGAGUAAGUCUUCCAACUCUACUAUAAGAUGGCUGAGAUCACAUCACUAAGUGGAUCAAAUAUUUAAACAUGAGACUCAACGCUGUGGAGAGCACAAGAGGAACAGCCUAGGACGUCUGUGCAAAGAAACAGGAAUGAGAAAUGGAAUUGUAGAAGACCGAAGAUUCAGGCUGGGGAGAUGUUAAGUUAAAUACUUGUCACAUAACCAUGAGGUUUUGCAUUUGAAUCUUCAGCACCAAUAUGAAAAGCUGGCAUGGUGAUACAUGCCUGUAACCUCUGAGCUUGGUAGAUAGGGCAAGUGAAGACAAGAGGAUUGCUGGAGUAUCUAAAGCAUGACCCAGGAGGCAGAGGCAGAAAGACC
This 490-nucleotide long non-coding RNA is filed under the name Mus spicilegus (steppe mouse). RNAcentral's name for it is "lncRNA (ENSMSIG00000017512.1)". Lineage: Eukaryota; Metazoa; Chordata; Mammalia; Rodentia; Muridae. The record is from RNAcentral.